Molecule: ribosomal RNA, 468 nt
Filed under: uncultured bacterium
Lineage: Bacteria
Description: partial 16S ribosomal RNA
Rfam family: Bacterial small subunit ribosomal RNA
Source: RNAcentral
GACGAACGCCGGCGGCGUGCUUAACACAUGCAAGUCGAACGGAAAGGCCCUGCUUUUGUGGGGUGCUCGAGUGGCGAACGGGUGAGUAACACGUGAGUAACCUGCCCUUGACUUUGGGAUAACUUCAGGAAACUGGGGCUAAUACCGGAUAGGAGCUCCUGCUGCAUGGUGGGGGUUGGAAAGUUUCGGCGGUUGGGGAUGGACUCGCGGCUUAUCAGCUUGUUGGUGGGGUAGUGGCUUACCAAGGCUUUGACGGGUAGCCGGCCUGAGAGGGUGACCGGCCACAUUGGGACUGAGAUACGGCCCAGACUCCUACGGGAGGCAGCAGUGGGGAAUAUUGCACAAUGGGCGGAAGCCUGAUGCAGCAACGCCGCGUGCGGGAUGACGGCCUUCGGGUUGUAAACCGCUUUCGCCUGUGACGAAGCGUGAGUGACGGCAAUGGGUAAAGAAGCACCGGCUAACUACGUG